UAGGGAAUCUUCCACAAUGGGCGAAAGCCUGAUGGAGCAAUGCCGCGUGAAUGAAGAAGGUCUUCGGAUCGUAAAGUUCUGUUAUUAGAGAAGAACAAGUCAAGGAGUAACUGUCUUGACUUUGACGGUACCUAACCAGAAAGUCACGGCUAACUACGUGCCAGCAGCCGCGGUAAUACGUAGGUGACAAGCGUUGUCCGGAAUUAUUGGGCGUAAAGGGAGCGCAGGCGGUUGGAAUAGUCUGAUGUGAAAGCCCACGGCUUAACCGUGGAAUUGCAUUGGAAACUGUCCAACUUGAAUGCAGAAGAGGAAAGCGGAAUUCCAUGUGUAGCGGUGAAAUGCGUAGAUAUAUGGAGGAACACCAGUGGCGAAGGCGGCUUUCUGGUCUGUGAUUGACGCUGAGGCUCGAAAGCGUGGGGAGCGAACAGG
Molecule: ribosomal RNA, 429 nt
Filed under: uncultured bacterium
Lineage: Bacteria
Also listed under: 1 other name
Description: bacterial SSU rRNA
Rfam family: Bacterial small subunit ribosomal RNA
Source: RNAcentral